RNAcentral lists this ribosomal RNA (279 nucleotides) under uncultured bacterium. RNAcentral describes it as "partial 16S ribosomal RNA". It matches the Rfam family "Bacterial small subunit ribosomal RNA", at positions 506 to 784 of the family's 1533-position model. The record is from RNAcentral.
UGCCAGCCGCCGCGGUAAUACGGAGGGUGCAAGCGUUGUUCGGAAUUAUUGGGCGUAGAGCGCGUGUAGGCGGUUCGUUAAGUCUGAUGUGAAAGCCCGGGGCUCAACCCCGGAAGUGCAUUGGAAACUGGCGAACUUGAGUACGGGAGAGGAAAGUGGAAUUCCGAGUGUAGGGGUGAAAUCCGUAGAUAUUCGGAGGAACACCAGUGGCGAAGGCGACAUUCUGGGUCACAACUGACACUGAGGUGCGAUAGCGUGGGGAGCAAACAGGAUUAGAUA